UGCCUUUAUGUGUUGCCCUCUCAUUGUUUCCCUAGUGAUUGGGGUGUCAAAUAAGGCAUACAGCGACUCCUGUGGUUGUCUGUGAAUUGAGCUCCGAGUGGCUCCUUAACUGAAACAGCUGCAAGCACAUGU
Small nucleolar RNA from Betta splendens (Siamese fighting fish), 132 nucleotides. Ensembl annotates it as small nucleolar RNA SNORA13. The record is from Ensembl. NCBI's taxonomy places the organism in Eukaryota, Metazoa, Chordata, Actinopteri, Anabantiformes, Osphronemidae.